This 457-nucleotide ribosomal RNA is filed under the name Streptococcus mitis. RNAcentral describes it as "bacterial SSU rRNA". It matches the Rfam family "Bacterial small subunit ribosomal RNA", at positions 28 to 473 of the family's 1533-position model. Lineage: Bacteria; Bacillati; Bacillota; Bacilli; Lactobacillales; Streptococcaceae. The record is from RNAcentral.
GACGAACGCUGGCGGCGUGCCUAAUACAUGCAAGUAGAACGCUGAAGGAGGAGCUUGCUUCUCCGGAUGAGUUGCGAACGGGUGAGUAACGCGUAGGUAACCUGCCUGGUAGCGGGGGAUAACUAUUGGAAACGAUAGCUAAUACCGCAUAAGAGUAGAUGUUGCAUGACAUUUGCUUAAAAGGUGCAAUUGCAUCACUACCAGAUGGACCUGCGUUGUAUUAGCUAGUUGGUGGGGUAACGGCUCACCAAGGCGACGAUACAUAGCCGACCUGAGAGGGUGAUCGGCCACACUGGGACUGAGACACGGCCCAGACUCCUACGGGAGGCAGCAGUAGGGAAUCUUCGGCAAUGGACGGAAGUCUGACCGAGCAACGCCGCGUGAGUGAAGAAGGUUUUCGGAUCGUAAAGCUCUGUUGUAAGAGAAGAAACGAGUGUGAGAAGUGGAAAAGUUUCAC